UUCCUGGUGGAGCGGUGGAAUGCGCAGAUAUCAGGAGGAACACCAGUGGCGAAGGCGGUUCUCUGGGCCUUUCCUGACGCUGAGGAGCGAAAGCGUGGGGAGCGAACAGGCUUAGAUACCCUGGUAGUCCACGCUGUAAACGGUGGGUACUAGGUGUGGGGUCCUUCCAGGGUUCCGUGCCGUAGCUAACGCUUUAAGUACCCCGCCUGGGGAGUACGGCCGCAAGGCUAAAACUCAAAGGAAUUGACGGGGCCCCGCACAAGCGGCGGAGCAUGCGGAUUAAUUCGAUGCAACGCGUAGAACCUUACCUGGGUUUGACAUGAUCGGGAGUGCUCAGAGAUGGGUGUGCCUCUUUUGGGGUCGGUUCACAGGUGGUGCAUGGCUGUCGUCAGCUCGUGUCGUGAGAUGUUGGGUUAAGUCCCGCAACGAGCGCAACCCUUGUUCACUGUUGCCAGCACGUUAUGGUGGGGACUCAGUGGAGACCGCCGGGGUCAACUCGGAGGAAGGUGGGGAUGACGUCAAGUCAUCAUGCCCCUUAUGUCCAGGGCUUCACGCAUGCUACAAUGGCUGGUACAGAGAGUGGCGAGCCUGUGAGGGUGAGCGAAUCUCGGAAAGCCGGUCUCAGUUCGGAUUGGGGUCUGCAACUCGACCUCAUGAAGUCGGAGUCGCUAGUAAUCGCAGAUCAGCACGCUGCGGUGAAUACGUUCCCGGGGCUUGCACACA
This 723-nucleotide ribosomal RNA is filed under the name uncultured Propionibacterium sp. RNAcentral describes it as "bacterial SSU rRNA". It matches the Rfam family "Bacterial small subunit ribosomal RNA", at positions 667 to 1389 of the family's 1533-position model. The record is from RNAcentral. Lineage: Bacteria; Bacillati; Actinomycetota; Actinomycetes; Propionibacteriales; Propionibacteriaceae.